GAUGAACGCUGGCGGCGUGCCUAAUACAUGCAAGUCGAGCGAACAGACGAGGAGCUUGCUCCUCUGACGUUAGCGGCGGACGGGUGAGUAACACGUGGAUAACCUACCUAUAAGACUGGGAUAACUUCGGGAAACCGGAGCUAAUACCGGAUAAUAUAUUGAACCGCAUGGUUCAAUAGUGAAAGACGGUUUUGCUGUCACUUAUAGAUGGAUCCGCGCCGCAUUAGCUAGUUGGUAAGGUAACGGCUUACCAAGGCAACGAUGCGUAGCCGACCUGAGAGGGUGAUCGGCCACACUGGAACUGAGACACGGUCCAGACUCCUACGGGAGGCAGCAGUAGGGAAUCUUCCGCAAUGGGCGAAAGCCUGACGGAGCAACGCCGCGUGAGUGAUGAAGGUCUUCGGAUCGUAAAGCUCUGUUAUUAGGGAAGAACAAAUGUGUAAGUAACUAUGCACGUCUUGACGGUACCUAACCAGAAAGCCACGGCUAACUACGUG
RNAcentral lists this ribosomal RNA (497 nucleotides) under uncultured bacterium. RNAcentral's name for it is "partial 16S ribosomal RNA". It matches the Rfam family "Bacterial small subunit ribosomal RNA", at positions 28 to 507 of the family's 1533-position model. The record is from RNAcentral.